AUUGAACGCUGGCGGCAUGCUUUACACAUGCAAGUCGAACGGUAACAGCACUUCGGUGGCUGACGAGUGGCGAACGGGUGAGUAAUACAUCGGAACGUGCCUAGUAGUGGGGGAUAACUACUCGAAAGAGUAGCUAAUACCGCAUGAGAUCUAAGGAUGAAAGCAGGGGACCUUCGGGCCUUGCGCUACUAGAGCGGCUGAUGGCAGAUUAGGUAGUUGGUGGGAUAAAAGCUUACCAAGCCGACGAUCUGUAGCUGGUCUGAGAGGACGACCAGCCACACUUGGACUGAGACACGGCCCAGACUCCUACGGGAGGCAGCAGUGGGGAAUUUUGGACAAUGGGCGCAAGCCUGAUCCAGCAAUGCCGCGUGCAGGAUGAAGGCCUUCGGGUUGUAAACUGCUUUUGUACGGAACGAAAAGCCCUCUUCUAAUACAGGAGGGUCAUGACGGUACCGUAAGAAUAAGCACCGGCUAACUACGUG
RNAcentral lists this ribosomal RNA (482 nucleotides) under uncultured bacterium. RNAcentral's name for it is "partial 16S ribosomal RNA". It matches the Rfam family "Bacterial small subunit ribosomal RNA", at positions 30 to 507 of the family's 1533-position model. The record is from RNAcentral.